RNAcentral lists this ribosomal RNA (510 nucleotides) under uncultured bacterium. Its description in RNAcentral is "partial 16S ribosomal RNA". It matches the Rfam family "Bacterial small subunit ribosomal RNA", at positions 28 to 507 of the family's 1533-position model. The record is from RNAcentral.
GACGAACGCUGGCGGCGUGCUUAACACAUGCAAGUCGAACGAAGAGCGAUGGAAGCUUGCUUCUCUCAAUCUUAGUGGCGAACGGGUGAGUAACGCGUAAUCAACCUUCCCUUCAGAGGGGGACAACAGUUGGAAACGACUGCUAAUACCGCAUACGAUCUGACCUCGGCAUCGAGGAUAGAUGAAAGGUGGCCUCUACAUGUAAGCUAUCACUGAAGGAGGGGAUUGCGUCUGAUUAGCUAGUUGGAGGGGUAACGGCCCACCAAGGCGAUGAUCAGUAGCCGGUCUGAGAGGAUGAACGGCCACAUUGGGACUGAGACACGGCCCAGACUCCUACGGGAGGCAGCAGUGGGGAAUCUUCCGCAAUGGACGAAAGUCUGACGGAGCAACGCCGCGUGAGUGAUGACGGCCUUCGGGUUGUAAAGCUCUGUUAAUCGGGACGAAAGGCCUUUUUGCGAAUAGUGAGGAGGAUUGACGGUACCGGAAUAGAAAGCCACGGCUAACUACGUG